RNAcentral lists this ribosomal RNA (468 nucleotides) under uncultured bacterium. RNAcentral's name for it is "partial 16S ribosomal RNA". It matches the Rfam family "Bacterial small subunit ribosomal RNA", at positions 28 to 507 of the family's 1533-position model. The record is from RNAcentral.
GACGAACGCUGGCGGCGUGCUUAACACAUGCAAGUCGAACGGUGAAGCUCCAGCUUGCUGGAGUGGAUCAGUGGCGAACGGGUGAGUAACACGUGAGCAACCUGCCCCUGACUCUGGAAUAAGCGCUGGAAACGGCGUCUAAUACUGGAUACGAAAAGGGUCCGCAUGGGCACUUUCUGGAAAGUUUUUCGGUUGGGGAUGGGCUCGCGGCCUAUCAGCUUGUUGGUGAGGUAAUGGCUCACCAAGGCGACGACGGGUAGCCGGCCUGAGAGGGCGACCGGCCACACUGGGACUGAGACACGGCCCAGACUCCUACGGGAGGCAGCAGUGGGGAAUAUUGCACAAUGGGCGAAAGCCUGAUGCAGCGACGCCGCGUGAGGGAUGACGGCCUUCGGGUUGUAAACCUCUUUCAGCAGGGAAGAAGCGAAAGUGACGGUACCUGCAGAAGAAGCACCGGCUAACUACGUG